Molecule: ribosomal RNA, 468 nt
Filed under: uncultured bacterium
Lineage: Bacteria
Description: partial 16S ribosomal RNA
Rfam family: Bacterial small subunit ribosomal RNA
Source: RNAcentral
GACGAACGCUGGCGGCGCGCUUAACACAUGCAAGUCGAACGGAAAGGCCCUGCUUUUGUGGGGUGCUCGAGUGGCGAACGGGUGAGUAACACGUGAGUAACCUGCCCUUGACUUUGGGAUAACUUCAGGAAACUGGGGCUAAUACCGGAUAGGAGCUCCUGCUGCAUGGUGGGGGUUGGAAAGUUUCGGCGGUUGGGGAUGGACUCGCGGCUUAUCAGCUUGUUGGUGGGGUAGUGGCUUACCAAGGCUUUGACGGGUAGCCGGCCUGAGAGGGUGACCGGCCACAUUGGGACUGAGAUACGGCUCAGACUCCUACGGGAGGCAGCAGUGGGGAAUAUUGCACAAUGGGCGGAAGCCUGAUGCAGCAACGCCGCGUGCGGGAUGACGGCCUUCGGGUUGUAAACCGCUUUCGCCUGUGACGAAGCGUGAGUGACGGUAAUGGGUAAAGAAGCACCGGCUAACUACGUG